RNA transcript from Tripterygium wilfordii, 768 nucleotides. It is a transcript of the gene named protein NUCLEAR FUSION DEFECTIVE 6, mitochondrial-like, with no coding region annotated. NCBI's taxonomy places the organism in Eukaryota, Viridiplantae, Streptophyta, Magnoliopsida, Celastrales, Celastraceae. The record is from RefSeq and is a predicted model, not a curated record. The transcript is spliced from 4 exons.
CCAAACAAUCGGAUAGGGUUUUAGUCCCUCCUUUCUGAGUGUAGUUCACUGAGUACUUCGUCUUCUUUGAUUUUUUGAUUUUCCUCCAACUGUUGUUGUCUUCGAAAUGGCUUCCUUCGCCGCCGCCAGAUCCGUGUUCCGCUCUGCCUCAGCCCGUAGUGCUGCGGCGCGCCUCGCCUCCAGAGGUAGCUCCGCCAAAGCUGCUCCGUCGCCCUUUCGUACCCCUGGUAGCAAACCCCUACCUCAAUGCACUUUCAGGUUCCCUGUUGAAAUGAGCUCUUGUGUGGAAACGCUGCUGCCAUACCACACGGCUACAGCUUCCUCUUUGAUGACUUCGAUGCUCUCCAUUACUCGCCGCAGUUGUGGUUGGCUUCCUGAAGGUAUCUAGCAAUGUUUCUAGGAGACUAGGACAUCUUGAUGUUCUUUACUUCCUUUCAACUUUCUGCUGCCAAUGAUGAUGUGUGAUAAAAAUCGGAGGAUUCAGGACUGUUUUGUGUACAAAUUCAGUAUUCUAAGACAGUAACUGCUGAUAAAUUAGAAGUUUUGAAUGAGCAGCUGAAGAGACAACUUCAAUUUCAUGAGCCUCCAAACCUAGAUCAAUUGAUAGUUUCUUUCCAUUCCCCCCAAUUCCUUUAAGAUGUUAUUCGAAACUUAACGUUGAGUUCUUUGACAUCAAGUCGAGAUGUAUUCCAGAUUAUUGACUUAAGUCACAGUUUAGAACUUUUGUUUCAUGUGUGAAUGUUAAUAAAAUCAAUGGCGUAAUACUAA